Molecule: ribosomal RNA, 115 nt
Filed under: Ditylum brightwellii
Lineage: Eukaryota; Bacillariophyta; Thalassiosirophyceae; Lithodesmiales; Lithodesmiaceae
Description: partial Trypanosomatid mitochondrial large subunit ribosomal RNA
Source: RNAcentral
CAAAGAAAACAGUGAAAUUACCACAAAAGAAAAAAAUGCAAAACUUACAAGAAAUAAAAAUAUCGUCCAAAAUGGACGAACCAAACCAACAUCACCUCCUUUCCAAGAGCCUGUU